This 1792-nucleotide long non-coding RNA is filed under the name Oryza sativa (Asian cultivated rice). Its description in RNAcentral is "long non-coding RNA (OSAT_LNC000477)". Lineage: Eukaryota; Viridiplantae; Streptophyta; Magnoliopsida; Poales; Poaceae. The record is from RNAcentral.
GUAUUCAAAUUUGAAGGAGACAAGAGACUUUGUGAUCUCCUUCAGAGACAUGAGAAAUAGGAGAAGCAGCGAAGGUACCAAUAUUUGUCAAACAUAUAGCUUAUGAACCAGACCUUAUCAUCAGUACUGGCUCAGCCUCACCAGUCACCACCUUCAUUUGAUUUCCAUUGAAAUACAGUAGUAAGUUAACAGCAAAUAUAUCACUGUCAUCACCAAUUCAGACCAUACUGAAGAAACAUGUUAGCAGUACUUACAUAUUUCACAUGACAAAGAUAAUUUUACAUACUGAAGAAACUAGUUUAGUAUACAGUUUCUUAAGUUGAAUCUGCUGGGGGGCAGAGUAUAUUAAGAAAGAUUGUAGGAAUGUACAUUAUUCCGACACACACCCCGCAGCAGCGUCCCAGGCAAGCAACGGCCUAAUAAACAGAAAAUAACAGCUUCUAAAAACCCAACAACAGGACAGCUCAGAAGCAACUCAAGUUGCUGUGAUCAGGCCUGCGGCCAUCCAGGUUUCCCAGGCCUAAUAUACAGUUUCUUAAGGAAACAGGACAUAUUUGAAUAACACGUCAGGAACUUCAAAUCCAGAAGUUUGCCACAAUAUUUUACACUUACUUGUUCACAUGCACAGUUAACAGCUAUGACCAUCCUGUAGCUUUUCAAGGAACAUGUAUAAUAUGUAGAUAGUGUGGAAAGCACAAAGAUGAAAACCAUAGGAUAACCUUGAAGAGAAACCUGUCAACUUUGUGAUGAUCUUUCCUUCGCUGUAUAAGAGGAGCAGUGUACCUUAGAAAUCUGCGAAUGAAAACAAUGAAAAUAAGAUAUCGUUCUUAUUAAUAUACUUCAGAUAUACUUUAGAAAUACUUUGAAGUUAGAAUCCACAUCCAUUUGAUUAGCAGUGUAUAUGAGAGCUGCAUCUCUAUUCUCAUGAAUUAAAAGGUAGUAAUUUCACAAAGAACUGGAGUAACAAAAUAAGGUAUUGUUCUAACAAUAUUAGCUAGACAAUGUGGUGCAUCGCCAAGGGGAACGAACACAUGCACUGUUAAGUAUGUAAUUUUACUUUAAAAACUGAGGGUUGAUCUUCUUCAGAAGAUGGUGAUUAUAUGCAAGUCAUUCAAUUGGGGCACUAAUGGAUGACAAAAGAUGGUGGGUACACCAGAAGUUGGCAUGCUUAUGAAAGUGGUUUUCUGAAAAUCAAUGGUCUAGAGAUGCAAUGGCGUAGCUGUAGCACACAAGCAAGAACCUGACCCAAGGAUCCAGAAUUCAUUAUGUCGAGAGAAUCUAGAAAAAAAAAGAGAAAGGUGGUUAAUUGGACCUCUUCAGAUGCUAACAAUACAUAAUUUAAAUUGUUGGGAUGGCUAGUAGGAGCUAACCAACCAAUGGAAUUAAGAUAGGAGGAGCCACAUAUUUCCAACCCUUCAUUUAAUCCAGGUGAAAGGUGAGGAGAUCAGCAAGCGAACCCUGGCUGCAAUGUUCACAAUGAACGCUUGUGCCAACUGCACUAGAAUCGCAUCUCUAUAUGAGUUUAAAUUCAUAGGUAUCUCCCUGGUGAAGUAUAACAGUGAAUAGCAAAACAAUCCUUGAAUUUUUUACCAUUAACUGGCUUGUUGAUUGUACACAGAGAAUAUUUGGGACAUCUAUUCAUAUAGACAAAAGCAAGGGAAAGAGUGGCAUCGCUAAUGUCAGAGUGAGAAAAAGCUGGAAACAAAAUUCAUGUAAAUAAUAUUAGCAGGGUUUACCUCAGUACAAUAGAAUGAGGAUACAGAUUUACCCAAGAACAAUUUGGCUAGCCAAA